RNAcentral lists this long non-coding RNA (767 nucleotides) under Cavia porcellus (domestic guinea pig). RNAcentral describes it as "lncRNA (ENSCPOG00000030031.1)". The record is from RNAcentral. Lineage: Eukaryota; Metazoa; Chordata; Mammalia; Rodentia; Caviidae.
AUCAGUUCUUGGUCUGCAGACCUUCUGGCUCUGGCUGCUUGCUUCCCUCGAAGCAUGAACCACGAUUCCAAUUUAGAAGGAAAGCUGAAAGGAGACAGCAAAGAUGGGCAGACGCUGGAUGGAGCAGGAGAACAUCUGGACCAUCACAGCUCCACAGUGCUUCACUUUGGGGACCACGGCUGCCUCUACUUCCCCACACUGCCCACGUCCCUGUGGCCCCGAGGAUGUGUCUUCCUGCCAUACAGGCUCCUUCCUCUGACAUCGCAAUCCUUGUUCAGGACUCUAAUGCCCCUCACUCUUGACAAAAACAUGUGUGUAUUUGUACAGCAGUGGCUUCCAGACACGCAGUACACAGUCGGAGCAGGCUGCAGCGAACUUUGUCAGUGUGUCUGUUGCUACCCUUUCUUUUCCCACUCAGGGUCCCAUUGUGCUCCUAUUCCUUUUUGCUGAUGGUGUAAAAAUUGAUGGCAAGUGGAUGAAGUGACCUGGAGCACUGUGAUUUCUACCGCAGCAUUUUUCUGCUUCAUAAAUCUGCUUCUUUUAGGCAAGUGUGACCCCGAGAGGGUCUAUGAUUUAGAAUUACAGUUUUACUACAGGAGUCUAUGUAGAUCAGCUGCCUCGCCCUGAUCCCUUGGUCUUUCAGUGGAUGCUGUUCCUAUUCUAUUUGUAUAUUUCAUGUGAAACCACUUCCAAGAUUUUUUGAAAGGAGAGACGCAACAAAUAAAUAAUAAGAAAAUAUCUGAGGCCACAAAGCACCAUCAUAUCAG